GACCUGUAUUCUGAGAAGCUUCAGGUCCUCUAAGUUCCCGUUGGUUGACAUGAAUAACCCUGUUGCCUUGUUUCGAAGUCUGAAAUAAAUACGUUUCUAGAAGACAAAACCCCAGCAAUGAUCACAAGGAUGCUGGUGCCCACACCUGAAGACAUGUGGACUCCUGCACGCAAUGGCAUGUGAGCGACCCAGCAGCCUUCCUCUGGCCCAUGUGUUACCAAGGAAGAAUGUCCUCGACUUUCCAUCCUAGAACUCUAAAGCACCCAAAUAAUUGUUUUUUAAACAGCUAUAGUCCCCUCCAAUACUUGAUGCAUACAAGGGGACUAUACCUAUUUUUGAGUGAAACAAAAAUACUUUCUUAAAAACA
Myotis daubentonii (Daubenton's bat) is the source of this 367-nucleotide long non-coding RNA. RefSeq lists it as uncharacterized. The record is from RefSeq and is a predicted model, not a curated record. NCBI's taxonomy places the organism in Eukaryota, Metazoa, Chordata, Mammalia, Chiroptera, Vespertilionidae.